RNAcentral lists this long non-coding RNA (289 nucleotides) under Bos mutus (wild yak). Its description in RNAcentral is "lncRNA (ENSBMUG00000016654.1)". Lineage: Eukaryota; Metazoa; Chordata; Mammalia; Artiodactyla; Bovidae. The record is from RNAcentral.
GAACGAUAAAGCACACAUCUGCUUGUGUUCAGACCGGGCUCCAGGAGGCGCGGUUUCCAGUUACCACUCCUCCCGCGGCUCACCUCCCCGGUCAUCCUGGAAAGAUGUCAGGAGCUGUGGAAUCCGAGUGCGGCUGCCAAGAGGAAUCCAGAAAAGCCAAAGAGCCCAAGCAUGUCAGACCUUCCUGUAGCCACACACACACACCCCUCAAACCCCAAGGAAGUGAGUGAGAAUCACCGGCAGGGAGACAGCCAACCAGGCGCUGAGCUGCGCUGUUUUGUGUUUCUUU